Molecule: long non-coding RNA, 388 nt
Filed under: Ananas comosus (pineapple)
Lineage: Eukaryota; Viridiplantae; Streptophyta; Magnoliopsida; Poales; Bromeliaceae
Description: long non-coding RNA (ACOM_LNC028273)
Source: RNAcentral
AUGAGAAAUAAAAUAAGAAUAAUAAAAAAUAAAAAUAAAAAAUAUAUUUUUUCUACAGAAAAGACCAAAAAGUAUAGAAGAAAAAAGAAGAAAAUGAAAUUGCACUGUUAAAAUAAGGUUACACUGUUUUAAAAAAUUUUUACACUGUUUUAGAAGAAAGUUGCACUCUUUAGAGAUAAAUUAUACUAUUGGGAUGAGACUUACACUUUUUAGGCGAAAGUUGUACUAUUUGGAUAAAAUUUACAUCAUUUUUUAUUCUCUUCUUUUUCCUCCUUCUUUCCCUUCGUUUUCUCAUCCUCGUCCUCCUUCUUCCUCCUCCACCUUCUCCACUGCCGUCGCCGUCAAGCGCCCCUCGUGCCGCCGCCCCCCUUCGCCGCCGGCGCCUGCG